This 1536-nucleotide ribosomal RNA is filed under the name Architectonica perspectiva. RNAcentral describes it as "partial 28S ribosomal RNA". It matches the Rfam family "Eukaryotic large subunit ribosomal RNA", at positions 21 to 856 of the family's 3401-position model. Lineage: Eukaryota; Metazoa; Mollusca; Gastropoda; Architectonicidae. The record is from RNAcentral.
UAACCCGCUGAAUUUAAGCAUAUAAGUAAGCGGAGGAAGAGAAACUAACGAGGAUUCCCUCAGUAGCGGCGAGUGAAGCGGGAAAAGCCCAGCACCGAAUCCCCCCGGCCGCAGAGCCGUCGCGUGGGAAAUGUGGUGUAUGGGACGCCGAUGGUCGGCGGGUGCGGCGGGCCUGUCCCUCCUCUGGAGUGCCGACACCCCGAGCGGGUGAGAGGCCUCUGCGGGCCCGUCCCCCCGUCGACCGCGGCGUCUCGGGAGUCAGGUUGCUUGAGAGUGCAGCCUAAAGCGGGUGGUAAACUCCAUCUAAGGCUAAAUACUGUCCGGGAGUGCGAUAGUCGACAAGUACCGCGAGGGAACGUUGAAACAGAACUUUGAAAAGAGAGUUCAAAAGGACGUGAAACCGUUCAAAGGUAAACGGGUGGAACCCACGGGAAGAAACCUCGAAUCUCCCACUCCGCACGGAUUCCCGCUUCGCCGAGCUCCUGGCGGGGGGCCUCCCGUCCGCUCAAGCCCGCGUCGUCGGCCGCCUCCGCGCGCCGGCGCUCGCGGUCGCGGGACGGUCCCCUCCGCGGUUCGCGUCGCGGCUACGAUCCCGGGGCGGUUGAGGUAGGGGGCACGCGUCACGGCGACCUUCCUAAUGUCGGCCCCCGAGCGCAUCGGGGGUCGGCGCGAGCAAGCGCGGGCGUGGGCCGCCGGGCUCGGCCGUGCGGGGCCAAGGGACUCGCGUCCCCCCUCGCGCGCGUCGGCCCGGACGGCGAAAACACGAAUCCGCCGGGGAGGCCGCAAGGACCUGCGUCGGUAUGUGCGUCUCGUGGUUCCCGGGGGCUCGCCGCCCCCGGGGCCGGGCCAGAAUCCAGGGGCGAUCGGUCGGCUGCUCGGCUCUCUCGGCCGCGGGCGAGGCUCUGGAUACGGGCGCGCGCUCUCUGCGCGCCGUGUCCGCCGCGGCAAACCCCCGCGAGUCCGGCCCGACCGUCCCGAAUCCGCUGACUGGCUUGGGGCGGGCGGUGCCAAGGCACCCCCUCCGCCAAGGCGACAGGCAGGCUCGCCCGUCGCCCGGUGGGACGCUCUGCCCGAAGGGCCUGUGAUGGUACGAGGGUCGUCCACCCGACCCGUCUUGAAACACGGACCAAGAAGUCUAACUUGUGCGCGAGUCAUCGGGCCUGUACGAACCCCAAAGGCGAAGUGAAAGCGUCGGUCGCGCUCCCGCGCCUCCGUGGUCUUCGGCGAGCACCCUCUGGGCGGUCCGUAACCGGCCGGCGCGCGCCGCGCUCUCGGGCGCCGCCGGUCAGACUCGGGACGCCCGCUCGUCGCGGGGUGGUCCGUCCUCGGACGGUCCCCGGCGAGGCCCCGUCGGCCUGUAAGAGUGGCGCGGACAGCUGCACGCAUGGGCGGGAUCCCGGGAGGCCCUCCGCCGAGUGGCUCCCGGGCGCACCGCCGACCCGUCUCAACGUCGCCGCUGCUCGGCGAGGCGGAGUCUGAGCGCACAGGUUGGGACCCGAAAGAUGGUGAGCUAUGCUUGGGCAGGACGAAGCCGGA